RNAcentral lists this ribosomal RNA (253 nucleotides) under uncultured bacterium. RNAcentral's name for it is "partial 16S ribosomal RNA". It matches the Rfam family "Bacterial small subunit ribosomal RNA", at positions 524 to 776 of the family's 1533-position model. The record is from RNAcentral.
UACGAAGGGUGCAAGCGUUGCUCGGAAUUAUUGGGCGUAAAGGGUAGGUAGGUGGUAAUAAAAGUCUGGGGUGAAAUCCCUGAGCUCAACUCAGGACGUGCCUUGGAAACUUUAUUACUAGAGUGCUGGAGAGGUCCGCAGAAUUCCCGGUGUAGCGGUGAAAUGCGUAGAGAUCGGGAGGAAUACCGAUGGCGAAGGCAGGUCUCUGGGCCAUAACUGACGCUGAGAAGCGAAAGCAUGGGGAGCGAACAGG